RNAcentral lists this ribosomal RNA (404 nucleotides) under Actinomycetes bacterium. Its description in RNAcentral is "Actinobacteria bacterium partial 16S ribosomal RNA". It matches the Rfam family "Bacterial small subunit ribosomal RNA", at positions 355 to 776 of the family's 1533-position model. Lineage: Bacteria; Bacillati; Actinomycetota; Actinomycetes. The record is from RNAcentral.
AGGGGAAUAUUGGACAAUGGGCGACAGCCUGAUCCAGCCAUGCCGCGUGAGAGAUGGAGGCCCUGGGGUUGUAAAGCUCUUUAACCGGUGAAGAUAAUGACGGUAACCGGAGAAGAAGCCCCGGCUAACUUCGUGCCAGCAGCCGCGGUAAUACGAAGGGGGCUAGCGUUGUUCGGAUUUACUGGGCGUAAAGCGCACGUAGGCGGACUUUUAAGUCAGGGGUGAAAUCCAGGGGCUCAACCCCGGAACUGCCUUUGAUACUGGAAGUCUUGAGUAUGGUAGAGGUGAGUGGAAUUCCGCGUGUAGAGGUGACAUUCGUAGAUAUUCGGAGGAACACCAGUUGCGAAGGCGGCUCACUGGACCAUUACUGACGCUGAGGUGCGAAAGCGUGGGGAGCCAACAGG